This is a non-coding RNA of Gracilariopsis chorda, 96 nucleotides long. Lineage: Eukaryota; Rhodophyta; Florideophyceae; Gracilariales; Gracilariaceae. The record is from the annotation of a GenBank genome assembly.
CCCCCUGUAGCUCAAUCGGUUUUCAAAUUUUGAAGUGACGAAAAGAGCAUUGGUCUUAUGAGCCAAAGGUUGCGAGUUCAAGCCUCGCCUGGGGGA